UGGAAACUAGGUAGGCAAAUACAGAGCCUCUGAAAAGCUAAGUGAAGUUUUCAAUAGUCUUACUGUGCUGAGGACACUAGGACUAGAAUUUAGAACUUAUGGGGCAAGGGCCAUGAUAAACACCCCAGCCACUCAAUGGAAAACCCUAAAACCAUGCUCUAAGAAUAAACAUGAUCCAGGAGUAGGUAGAGAUUCAAUACUGCUACUGAGCCCUGAGUUAACUCAGUCCCUGGUUGAAUUAAGCUGACUAACCCAUAGUAUAUGAUAUGGUUUGGCUGUGUCUCCACUCAAAUCUCCUCUUGAAUUGUAGCUCCCACAAUUCCCACAUAUCGUGGGAGGGACCUGAUGGGAGGUAACUGAAUCAUGGGGAUGGGUCUUUCCCAUGCUGUUCUUGUGAUAGUGAAUAAGUCUCAUGAGAUCUGAUGGUUUUAUAAAUGGGACUCCUGCACAAGCUCUUUUUUUGACUGCCUCCAUGUAAGAUGUGACUUUUCUCCUCAUUUGCCUUCUGCCACGAUCGUGAGGCCUCCCCAGCCAUGUGGAAUUGUGAGUCAAUUAAACCUCUUUCCUUUAUAAAUUACCCAGUCUUGGGUAUGUCUUUAUUAGCAGCGCAAGAACAGGCUAAUACAGUAUAUCUACCUAUCAGAGGAAAGGAUGAACAAUGUCCAGCAUUCAAUAAAAAAUGUAGGCAUACCAAGAGACAAGACUAAAUGGUCAAAUAUCAGGGGGAAUAUUUAGAUAUGGGAAAUCAACCCACAGGUGAUUCAGAUAUUGGACUUAGCUGAUAAGGGCUUAAGUGAACUGUUAUUAAUAUGGUAAAGACAAUAUAGAAAAAGAUAGAUGGAUGAAAAUAGAAUUUCAUCAGACAAUUGAAAACUAUGAAAGGAAC
RNAcentral lists this long non-coding RNA (886 nucleotides) under Homo sapiens (human). RNAcentral describes it as "HSALNT0169466". Lineage: Eukaryota; Metazoa; Chordata; Mammalia; Primates; Hominidae. The record is from RNAcentral.